CAGAGCCGCGGGAAAACGAAGGGUGCAAGCGUUACUCGGAAUUACUGGGCGUAAAGCGUGCGUAGGUGGUGGUUUAAGUCCGUUGUGAAAGCCCUGGGCUCAACCUGGGAAUUGCAGUGGAUACUGGGUCACUAGAGUGUGGUAGAGGAUAGUGGAAUUUCCGGUGUAGCAGUGAAAUGCGUAGAGAUCGGAGGGAACAUCUGUGGCGAAGGCGACUAUCUGGGCCAACACUGACACUGAGGCACGAAAGCGUGGGGAGCAAACAGGAUUAGAGACCCCUGUAGUCCCUGUCUCUUAUACC
This 301-nucleotide ribosomal RNA is filed under the name uncultured bacterium. Its description in RNAcentral is "partial 16S ribosomal RNA". It matches the Rfam family "Bacterial small subunit ribosomal RNA", at positions 509 to 808 of the family's 1533-position model. The record is from RNAcentral.